Apis dorsata (giant honeybee) is the source of this 126-nucleotide small nucleolar RNA. RefSeq annotates it as small nucleolar RNA SNORA68. The transcript has a single exon. The record is from RefSeq and is a predicted model, not a curated record. NCBI's taxonomy places the organism in Eukaryota, Metazoa, Arthropoda, Insecta, Hymenoptera, Apidae.
AAUGCACCUUCAAGUAAAAAAUUAAUACUCUAUGUGUUUUUUUUUGUGAGAGGUGCAACAAUAAAAUAUUCUUAGUCGCCUUUAAUUUGUUUUUGCAAAUUGAAGUUGAACCUAAGAAUAACAUAU